This 188-nucleotide non-coding RNA is filed under the name Bacillota bacterium. Its description in RNAcentral is "Firmicutes bacterium (anaerobic digester metagenome) 6S RNA". It matches the Rfam family "6S / SsrS RNA". From Rfam's summary of the family: E. coli 6S RNA was the first non coding RNA to be sequenced, but its function was unknown until recently. It consists of 184 nucleotides that fold into an extended hairpin structure with a large single-stranded internal bulge. The record is from RNAcentral. Lineage: Bacteria; Bacillati; Bacillota.
GAGACCCUGCUGUGAUCGUGGUCCUUGGUGAAGUUUGAGCCAACACCAAGACAUAGGGAGUCUGGACUCCAGCUGCGGAAUGCACGCCCUUAGCCGCGAGGAAGGGAAGCGUGAAACAGCUGGGAGGACACCCACCUGAAUGAGACCGGUUCUAAACUUACCGGCACUCACGACACGGCGGGGCUUUC